AAUGAACGCUGGCGGCAGGCCUAACACAUGCAAGUCGAGCGGAGCGGCGGACGGGCGAGUAAUGACUAGGAAUCUGCCUGGUAGUGGGGGCUAGCGUCCGGAAACGGGCGCUAAUACCGCAUACUUGCUGAUGAGCCUAGGUAGGAUUAGCUAGUUGGUGGGGUAAAGGCUGACAAAGGCGACGAACCGUAGCUGGUCUGAGUGGAUGAUCAGUCACACUGGAACUGAGACUCGGUCCAGGCUCCUACGGGAGGCAGCAGUGGGGAAUAUUGGACAAUGGGCGAAAGCCUGAUCCAGCCAUGCCGCGUGUGUGAAGAAGGUCUUCGGAUUGUAAAGCACUUUAAGUUGGGAGGCGUUACCAACAGAAUAAGCACCGGCUAACUUCGUGCCAGCAGCCGCGGUAAUUC
RNAcentral lists this ribosomal RNA (407 nucleotides) under uncultured bacterium. RNAcentral describes it as "partial 16S ribosomal RNA". It matches the Rfam family "Bacterial small subunit ribosomal RNA", at positions 29 to 526 of the family's 1533-position model. The record is from RNAcentral.